AGGCGGAUGGGUAAGUUGGGCGUGAAAGCUCCGUGCUCAACGCGGAGAGGUCGUUCAAUACUGCCGAUCUGGAGGACAUCAGAGGGGCGUGGAAUUUCCGGUGUAGCGGUAAAAUGCGCAGAUAUCGGAAGGAACACCAGUGGCGAAAGCGGCGCCCUGGGGUGGACCUGACGCUGAGAGACGAAAGCUAGGGGAGCAAACAGGAUUAGAGACCCUGGUAGUCCUAGCUAUAAACGAUGGAUGCUAGGUGUGGGGCCGAGAAGGCUCUGUGCCGCAGCCAACGCGCUAAGCAUCCCGCCUGGGGACUACGGCCGCAAGGCUAAAACUCAAACGAAUUGACGGGGCCCCGCACAAGCAGCGGAGCGUGUGGUUCAAUUCGAUGCUACACGAAGAACCUUACCUGGGCUUGACAUGGAGGUGGUAGGGAAGCGAAAGCGGACCGACCCUUCGGGGAGCCUUCACAGGUGCUGCAUGGCUGUCGUCAGCUCGUGCCGUGAGGUGUCGGGUUAAGUCCCGUAACGAGCGCAACCCUUGCCCUUAGUUACAAGUGUCUAAGGGGACUGCCGGCGGUAAGCCGGAGGAAGGUGGGGAUGACGUCAAGUCAGCAUGGCCCUUAUGUCCAGGGCUACACACACGCUACAAUGGUCGGUACAAAGGGCAGCGAAGCCGCGAGGUGGAGCGAAUCUCAUCAAAGCCGAUCGUAGUUCGGAUUGCAGGCUGCAACUCGCCUGCAUGAAG
RNAcentral lists this ribosomal RNA (738 nucleotides) under uncultured Chloroflexota bacterium. Its description in RNAcentral is "bacterial SSU rRNA". It matches the Rfam family "Bacterial small subunit ribosomal RNA", at positions 573 to 1325 of the family's 1533-position model. Lineage: Bacteria; Bacillati; Chloroflexota. The record is from RNAcentral.